AGUGAACGCUGGCGGUAGGCCUAACACAUGCAAGUCGAACGGCAGCACAGUAAGAGCUUGCUCUUACGGGUGGCGAGUGGCGGACGGGUGAGGAAUACAUCGGAAUCUACUUUUUCGUGGGGGAUAACGUAGGGAAACUUACGCUAAUACCGCAUACGACCUACGGGUGAAAGCAGGGGAUCUUCGGACCUUGCGCGAUUGAAUGAGCCGAUGUCGGAUUAGCUAGUUGGCGGGGUAAAGGCCCACCAAGGCGACGAUCCGUAGCUGGUCUGAGAGGAUGAGCAGGCACAAGGGAACUGAGACACGGGCCAGACUCCUACGGGAGGCAGCAGUGGGGAAUAUUGGACGAUGGGCGCAAGCCUGAUCCAGCCAUACCGCGUGGGUGAAGAAGGCCUUCGGGUUGUAAAGCCCUUUUGUUGGGAAAGAAAAGCAGCAGGUUAAUACCCCGCUGUUCUGACGGUACCCAAAGAAUAAGCACCGGCUAACUUCGUG
This 492-nucleotide ribosomal RNA is filed under the name uncultured bacterium. RNAcentral's name for it is "partial 16S ribosomal RNA". It matches the Rfam family "Bacterial small subunit ribosomal RNA", at positions 29 to 507 of the family's 1533-position model. The record is from RNAcentral.